AUGCUCCCCCUUUUCUCCUUUCAGACCCGGUUUUCCACGCGGACCCUGAAGAAUGACCAGAUUCUCCAAUCUCACCCUAAGAGGACGAAAAAUACCAUGAAAUACUGCAAAUACCACACGCUGCAUGUCCAGUGUUACCAGGAGGCCCCUGAGAUUGUAAAGCAGAGAAAUAGGAAGAGAUGUAAAGAAAAGGAGAACCAGGAGGUCCAGUUCUACCCGGUCUUCCUGGUAAACCCGGAAUACCAUCUGUUCCGGGAAGACCCUGAUGAAUGCAAAGUGGGAAUGAUACAGACAAAAAAAAUAUAUAUAUAUAUAUUAUAUAAUAUACACAAAAACACAGAAAUUGUUUGA
Molecule: long non-coding RNA, 351 nt
Organism: Cyprinus carpio (common carp)
Lineage: Eukaryota; Metazoa; Chordata; Actinopteri; Cypriniformes; Cyprinidae
Source: Ensembl